GUGCUCACUUCGGCAACACCUAUACUAAAAUUGGAACAACAUAGAGAAGAUUAGCACGGCCCCUGCGCAAGGAUGACAUGCAAAUUCGUGAAGCAUUCCAUAUUUUU
This 107-nucleotide small nuclear RNA is filed under the name Salvator merianae (Argentine black and white tegu). The record is from RNAcentral. Lineage: Eukaryota; Metazoa; Chordata; Lepidosauria; Squamata; Teiidae.